RNAcentral lists this long non-coding RNA (248 nucleotides) under Chrysolophus pictus (golden pheasant). Its description in RNAcentral is "lncRNA (ENSCPIG00010000949.1)". Lineage: Eukaryota; Metazoa; Chordata; Aves; Galliformes; Phasianidae. The record is from RNAcentral.
CGCUGCUGCUGCCCGACAAGCUGGAGGACCUGGAGGUGGUGCAGCAGCGCUUUGAGACCCUGGAGCCGGAGAUGAACAACCUGGCGUCCCGCGUGGCCGCCGUCAACCGCAUCGCCGAGGAGCUGCUGGCGUCCGACCGGCGCAACCAGGAGAGCAUCCGGGCCACUCAGGAGCAGCUCAACGCCAGCUGGGCCCGUUUCCGCGCGCUGGCCGAGCGCAAGAAGGCUGAGCUGAGCUCCGCUCUCAGC